UGGAUCAAUGAAGACCACAGAUGAUGUAUGAACCGGGUCAUGACUACAGGUCUGGGAGUCUGAGGCUCAU
This is a small nucleolar RNA of Cricetulus griseus (Chinese hamster), 70 nucleotides long. Ensembl annotates it as small nucleolar RNA SNORD113/SNORD114 family. The record is from Ensembl. Lineage: Eukaryota; Metazoa; Chordata; Mammalia; Rodentia; Cricetidae.